This 449-nucleotide ribosomal RNA is filed under the name uncultured bacterium. RNAcentral describes it as "partial 16S ribosomal RNA". It matches the Rfam family "Bacterial small subunit ribosomal RNA", at positions 29 to 523 of the family's 1533-position model. The record is from RNAcentral.
AACGAACGCUGGCGGCAUGCCUAACACAUGCAAGUCGAACGAGAUCUUCGGGUCUAGUGGCGCACGGGUGCGUAACGCGUGGGAAUCUGCCCUUUGGUUCGGAAUAACAGUUGGAAACGACUGCUAAUACCGGAUGAUGACGAAAGUCCAAAGAUUUAUCGCCGGAGGAUGAGCCCGCGUAGGAUUAGCUAGUUGGUGAGGUAAAGGCGCACCAAGGCGACGAUCCUUAGCUGGUCUGAGAGGAUGAUCAGCCACACUGGGACUGAGACACGGCCCAGACUCCUACGGGAGGCAGCAGUGGGGAAUAUUGGACAAUGGGCGAAAGCCUGAUCCAGCAAUGCCGCGUGAGUGAUGAAGGCCUUAGGGUUGUAAAGCUCUUUUACCCGGGAUGAUAAUGACAGUACCGGGAGAAUAAGCUCCGGCUAACUCCGUGCCAGCAGCCGCCGUAA